GACGGAGGAUGCAAGUGUUAUCCGGAAUCACUGGGCGUAAAGCGUCUGUAGGUGGUCAAAUAAGUCAACUGUUAAAUCUUGAGGCUCAACCUCAAAAUCGCAGUCGAAACUAUUCGACUAGAGUAUAGUAGGGGUAAAGGGAAUUUCCAGUGGAGCGGUGAAAUGCGUAGAGAUUGGAAAGAACACCGAUGGCGAAGGCGGCCAUCUGGACCGCAACUGACGCUGAGGCGCGAAAGCGUGGGGAGCAAACAGG
RNAcentral lists this ribosomal RNA (253 nucleotides) under uncultured bacterium. RNAcentral's name for it is "partial 16S ribosomal RNA". It matches the Rfam family "Bacterial small subunit ribosomal RNA", at positions 524 to 776 of the family's 1533-position model. The record is from RNAcentral.